Molecule: ribosomal RNA, 450 nt
Filed under: uncultured bacterium
Lineage: Bacteria
Description: partial 16S ribosomal RNA
Rfam family: Bacterial small subunit ribosomal RNA
Source: RNAcentral
GUGGGGAAUUUUGGACAAUGGGCGCAAGCCUGAUCCAGCAAUGCCGCGUGCAGGAAGAAGGCCUUCGGGUUGUAAACUGCUUUUGUACGGAACGAAACGGUCCUGGUUAAUACCUGGGGCUAAUGACGGUACCGUAAGAAUAAGCACCGGCUAACUACGUGCCAGCAGCCGCGGUAAUACGUAGGGUGCGAGCGUUAAUCGGACUUACUGGGCGUAAAGCGUGCGCAGGCGGUGCUGUAAGACAGGCGUGAAAUCCCCGGGCUCAACCUGGGAAUUGCGCUUGUGACUGCAGUGCUGGAGUACGGGAGAGGGGGAUGGAAUUCCGCGUGUAGCAGUGAAAUGCGUAGAUAUGCGGAGGAACACCGAUGGCGAAGGCAGUCCCCUGGGCCUGUACUGACGCUCAUGCACGAAAGCGUGGGGAGCAAACGGGAUUAGAAACCCGAGUAGUCC